GACGCUGGCGGUAGGCUUAACACAUGCAAGUCGUGCGAGAAAGUAUCUUCGGAUAUUAGUAGAGCGGCGGACGGGUGAGUAACGCGUAGGAAUCUACCUAGUAGAAGGGGAUAGCCCGGGGAAACUCGGAUUAAUACCGUAUACCUCCUUUGGGAGAAAGAAGGCCUCUCUUUGAAGCUUUCGCUAUUAGAUGAGCCUGCGUAAGAUUAGCUUGUUGGUGAGGUAAAGGCUCACCAAGGCGACGAUCUUUAGCGGGUCUGAGAGGACGAUCCGCCACAUUGGGACUGAGACACGGCCCAGACUCCUACGGGAGGCAGCAGUGGGGAAUAUUGGACAAUGGGCGCAAGCCUGAUCCAGCCAUACCGCGUGUGUGAAGAAGGCCCUAGGGUUGUAAAGCACUUUAAGUUGGGAAGAAAAGUUAUUGGUUAAUACCCAAUGACCGUGACAUUACCUUCAGAAUAAGGACCGGCUAAUUCCGUGCCAGCAGCCGCGGUAAUACGGAAGGUCCAAGCGUUAAUCGGAAUUACUGGGCGUAAAGCGCGCGUAGGUGGUUUAUUAAGUUGGAUGUGAAAUCCCCGGGCUCAACCUGGGAACUGCAUCCAAAACUGAUUCACUAGAGUACGAUAGAGGGAGGUAGAAUUCACAGUGUAGCGGUGGAAUGCGUAGAUAUUGUGAAGAAUACCAAUGGCGAAGGCAGCCUCCUGGAUCUGUACUGACACUGAGGUGCGAAAGCGUGGGUAGCGAACAGGAUUAGAUACCCUGGUAGUCCACGCCGUAAACGAUGUCAACUAGCUGUUGGAAAACUAUGUUUUUCAGUGGCGCAGCUAACGUAAUAAGUUGACCGCCUGGGG
Molecule: ribosomal RNA, 851 nt
Filed under: uncultured Gammaproteobacteria bacterium
Lineage: Bacteria; Pseudomonadati; Pseudomonadota; Gammaproteobacteria
Description: bacterial SSU rRNA
Rfam family: Bacterial small subunit ribosomal RNA
Source: RNAcentral